GACGAACGCUGGCGGCGUGCUUAACACAUGCAAGUCGAACGGAAAGGCCCUGCUUUUGUGGUGUGCCCGAGUGGCGAACGGGUGAGUAACACGUGAGUAACCUGCCCUUGACUUUGGGAUAACUUCAGGAAACUGGGUCUAAUACCGGAUAGGAGCUCCUGCUGCAUGGUGGGGGUUGGAAAGUUUCGGCGGGUGGGGAUGGACUCGCGGCUUAUCAGCUUGUUGGUGGGGUAGUGGCUUACCAAGGCUUGGACGGGUAGCCGGCCUGAGAGGGUGACCGGCCACAUUGGGACUGAGAUACGGCCCAGACUCCUACGGGAGGCAGCAGGGGGGAAUAUUGCACAAUGGGCGGAAGCCUGAGGCAGCAACGCCGCGUGCGGGAGGACGGCCUUCGGGUUGUAAACCGCUUUCGCCUGUGACGAAGCGUGAGUGACGGUAAUGGGUAAAGAAGCACCGGCUAACUACGUG
RNAcentral lists this ribosomal RNA (468 nucleotides) under uncultured bacterium. RNAcentral's name for it is "partial 16S ribosomal RNA". It matches the Rfam family "Bacterial small subunit ribosomal RNA", at positions 28 to 507 of the family's 1533-position model. The record is from RNAcentral.